AUACUCUGGUUUCUCUGCAUAUUACAUAAAUCUUUUGCUUUUUACUAAAGAUUUCUGUGGAGAGGUACAGUAAUGAGUUUUUUUU
RNAcentral lists this small nuclear RNA (85 nucleotides) under Canis lupus familiaris (dog). RNAcentral's name for it is "U5 spliceosomal RNA (multiple genes)". It matches the Rfam family "U5 spliceosomal RNA", at positions 1 to 85 of the family's 117-position model. Rfam says of the family: U5 RNA is a component of both types of known spliceosome. The precise function of this molecule is unknown, though it is known that the 5' loop is required for splice site selection and p220 binding, and that both the 3' stem-loop and the Sm site are important for Sm protein binding and cap methylation. The record is from Rfam by way of RNAcentral. RNAcentral also lists the same sequence under 1 other name. Lineage: Eukaryota; Metazoa; Chordata; Mammalia; Carnivora; Canidae.